GUUUUGCCGAACGGACAUUUUGCCGAACGGACAUUUUGCCGAACGGACAGUUUGCCGAAAGGACAACUUGCCGAAAAUAGAGAUGUUAUUUCGUCAAACUUUUUGGGACUGUGACUGAUUUCUCAACUGUGUAAUUCUCAACCAUUGUGUAAAAUAACAAUUAUAUGGUCAUUAGCAGCGCAUAAUGAGUCGUUAUAGCAGUACAUAACCAAUAACCAUAUUGACUAUUGGUAGCUUGUUUGUGCACCGGAGGACUCAUUUGCUAGGAACGUGUUUUGACGUCAGGUCGUAAACAAACAAGCGUAUAUAAAGACAACGACGUAAGCGAAUUUCACUUCGAGAAUCAUGG
Paramuricea clavata is the source of this 349-nucleotide non-coding RNA. NCBI's taxonomy places the organism in Eukaryota, Metazoa, Cnidaria, Anthozoa, Malacalcyonacea, Plexauridae. The record is from the annotation of a GenBank genome assembly.